CCGGAGUGGAGACCUGAGGCUGGUGAUGAGCUGACAAGACCGUGAGGCGCGUCACCAAGAGCGGAUUCCCAGACUUAGGGGAAGGGCAAGGAAAAGUUGUCUCGGAGGAGCCUGCCUUCCCCGGCUCGCCCAGGUCUGAAAUGCUGACGGCCGAAGAGGCGAUCGGCACGCAUUGGACAAACACCGAGGCAUGCUUCAAGUUUUCAUGGUGCAUUUCAGAAAUGGGAGACUGGUGUUUUCCAGAAGACGCACCCCCUCUUUUCUGAUGGCUGAAGGUUCCUUGCACAAGCUCGGUCUUUCCGUUGUAUGACGUUGAUUUACUUUUUUUUUCUUUUAUGGAUGCCCGAUUUGAAGCUUCAGUGUAAAAAGUAGAUUGCCGAAUCACGCUUUUUUUAGGCAAAGCUUCAAGGCCGAAGGCCACUGUAUUACGGAGUUUCAUCAGCCCUUUCCUUGGAAGCACUGGGUUUUUUAGUUUCUCUCUGCUUCUUUGCCCUCCGUAUGGGAGGAGGUGCCCAUGCGAGCGAUGUCAUUUGAUUUCAUGUCUCUUUGAUCCUCUCUUUAAUGCAGUCUUGUACAAGAUAACCUCAUUCUUGUUCCAGUGCGGUUUGUGGAGUUGGAUGUUUACGUACAAAAGGACCCAGAAAGUGGGCCCGUGCUGUUAGGAAGGCUCUUGGAGAAAGACAGCUGGAGUAGCAUCUUGUAGCUGAAAUGGAUCUCGGGGAUGGUCAGGUUCUCCUGCCUCGUUUGCCAGCUUUGAAUCUAUGGUACAAAAGUUGCUUCCUGGGUUAGUCCUAAGGCAGAACACUGGAUCUUCCUUGGCUAUCAAGUACUUUAUUGAAAGAAACAGUCCUUACAAGGCUAAAGAGAACAAAGAAGCAGCAUAUUGUGGUAAGGAGGUAGCUCUUGAAAUCACAAAAAAGUAGGUGCAUAAUGAGAUAUA
Lontra canadensis (Northern American river otter) is the source of this 940-nucleotide long non-coding RNA. RefSeq lists it as uncharacterized. NCBI's taxonomy places the organism in Eukaryota, Metazoa, Chordata, Mammalia, Carnivora, Mustelidae. The record is from RefSeq and is a predicted model, not a curated record. The transcript has 3 exons.